GAUGAAGAACGCAGCGAAAUGCGAUAAGUAGUGUGAAUUGCAGAAGUACCGUGAAUCAUCGAAUCUUUGAACGCAAAUUGCACUCUCUGGUAUUCCGGGGAGUAUGCCUGUUUGAGGGUCGCUUAACAAACCAUCGAUUUCGUUGCUUUUUUUUUUUAAAAAAGUGAUGUUUAUCGGAUUUGAGCCGUCUUUUUUUUUAUAUUUAAGUGGCUUAAAAUUGAUUUUUUUGGUACGAUCGAAGCGUAUUUUUAUGAUCAAUUUUUGGUUAAAGAAACGCACACGUACCGUUAUUUAUAUGAUGUAAUACGUUUGACUAUUGGAUUUAGUUCAUUCGUAUACGAUAUUUUUCAAUAUUUGACCUCAAAUCAGGUAAGAACACCCGCUGAACUUAAGCAUAUCAAUAAGCGGAGGA
RNAcentral lists this unclassified non-coding RNA (412 nucleotides) under soil metagenome. RNAcentral describes it as "partial contains 5.8S ribosomal RNA, internal transcribed spacer 2, and large subunit ribosomal RNA". The stretch from base 1 to 121 matches the Rfam family "5.8S ribosomal RNA", at positions 35 to 154 of the family's 154-position model. The record is from RNAcentral.